CUGGAAUUGUGGGAGAGUAUUUUUGUAACAGCUGUUCAGCAGCCUCAAACCUCCCCUGUUGGUGGUGGGGGAGAGUGCUCCCUAUUAAAGCCAAGCAAGAAGGGCAACAGCAAGCGGCAUGGGGAGCUUGUUAUGUGCGAAGGUCAAAGUAGCCUAUGAGCAGACCAAACUCCCCUCCAAUCCUGGCCAAAUGUGGUAAGUCCUGAGGACCCAAUGUUCAACUUGUCCCCGAGAGAAUUAGUGUGAGGUCAUUUUAAACAAGACUGGAGUCCUAAAGAAGACCUGACUUGAUGGUAUAAGGGGAAUCAGGAGUAAGCGCUACAGGAGAUGGGGUAGAGCUAAACGCGGGAACCAGGAGGGCAAGUGCAGAAACUGAUAACGCUUACUUACAUCAAGAGAAGGGCAGGUGAUGUCUGUAACAGGUCUGAACUUUCUCCAGGAGAGACAGAGUCAUCUUUAACCCUCUGCUAGAACGUCUAGUCCAGAGAAAGCAAAGCCAGCUUACAACGGUAUCAGUCAUGAAAGAACUUUCCUUACUUCUUUCUGCAACCCCAGUGGGGUCUCUGAUGGCAGCUGGACAGUGGAGGAGGAACCACAAGAGGAGCAGAGAAGGAGCCAGUGGACAGGGUUGCUUUCUUCAAGGAAUCCUGAUGGAGAGCUGGACUUCAAAUGUCUUCUUCCUUGGGAAUACCAUGAAUAGGGAGCAACAGCAAAACAAAAAGGCAAAGCUUGGCAUCUUCUGAAGGACUCCAUAUUGGGUCCAUAUUGUGGGCCAGCAAGUCAGCUAUCACAACCCUAAGAAGUGACUGCUCAGAAGGGGUUUCCCUACAGAUGGAGGAAGAGCCCGGUGACUAGGGUUAACGCUGUGUUCCAAAUAAACCCAAUUGCUUGGAGACGUUUAUGGAUGAG
RNAcentral lists this long non-coding RNA (909 nucleotides) under Felis catus (domestic cat). Its description in RNAcentral is "lncRNA (ENSFCAG00000042969.2)". Lineage: Eukaryota; Metazoa; Chordata; Mammalia; Carnivora; Felidae. The record is from RNAcentral.